Molecule: long non-coding RNA, 439 nt
Filed under: Sorghum bicolor (sorghum)
Lineage: Eukaryota; Viridiplantae; Streptophyta; Magnoliopsida; Poales; Poaceae
Description: long non-coding RNA (SBIC_LNC004585)
Source: RNAcentral
ACCAACGAGUAAAUUUGUAUGCGUGCUCCCUUUCCCGGAUGGUGAUGCAAGAAGACACAGAGAUUUAUCCUGGUUCGGGCAAGAGAAGGCCCUACGUCCAGCGGGGGGAGAGAGUUUGUAUUAUCUUGCACCUAAGUGCUUGUACAGGGGCGAAUACAAGCGUGGUAUGAAGUGUGGAGCUCUACUACGUAUGAGCGUGGUCUGGUGUUGUGAUCCUUCUCCGAUCUAUUCCUGAGUCUCUCCUUUUAUAGCUCCAAGGAGAGACCUAGGGUACAUGCGUAGAUGUUAGAGUAGGGGUCGAUAGCCGCAUGGAGCGCUGACCUACUCGAGGCUUCCGUACGACAUGGCCUCGAGCCGUCCCAUCUUGAUAGCCCGGUGAUGAUUACGCGUGCUCCUGCGUUCUGCCCUGCCCGCCGCCUCGCGCUGGUUCUGAGGUCGC